AGUUUUUUCAAACUUGUUAUUGUACUAAAAUCAUGCUAUUUUGUUGGCAGUUUAUAUUGAAGGGUAUUGAUAAAGGAGAAAUUCUAAGUAGCGGGGCUCCUCAAAUUACUAAAGAGGGAUCAGGUGGGGUUAAUGCGGUUGAAGGCCAGUCAAGAAGAAGCAAAUUUGGUAUGCAGGGGUACUUUGGGAAUUCUAGCUCUGUUCCAGCCAGAGCAACAGAGAGUGGAGAUGAACUGUUUCAAUUGGCCAAGCUGAUGCAGCUUGAAAGGCAAAAGUAAGCAAGUUAGCAUAACCAAA
Molecule: long non-coding RNA, 297 nt
Organism: Helianthus annuus (common sunflower)
Lineage: Eukaryota; Viridiplantae; Streptophyta; Magnoliopsida; Asterales; Asteraceae
Exons: 2
Source: RefSeq, a predicted model, not a curated record